CUGCAAGCAGUGAACUGGAGAAACAUCCAGCACUUACUGCUCUACUAUAAGGAAAGAAAUACUCUUAUCAACUGGACAUCCAUAUAGUAGCCACUGUGGAUGUUCCAUGUGCCCAAAGAGUAUGGUGUGCAGAUCAAAGUCAAGGGCAAAACUGUCUGCACGUAUAUCUGAGGGUUCUGUCCAUUUUACAAUUCAGGUGCAUUUUAGAGUCAUCCAAGCUAGUAGCUGCGUCAUAGCCCUAGCAAUGUUAUGUGUGUUCUACAAAUGAAAGAUUUACCAUUAUUUGAAAUUCUUCAUUUCAAAAAGUUUAAAUGGAUUUGAAAUCUAUUAUAACUAUCACAAGAAAUGCUAUCAUUAGAUUAUUAAUGAAAGAAAGAUCUGUAGGAUUCUUUCUAUGUAUAUAACUUCAAUAGUCCCUGCAGGGAGCCGAAGGCCCGUAGGAUGUGACCAACUCAGUAGUCCACUGGAGGAUAUGAUUAAACAGCAAACUGUUUAUCAUGAAUGCAGGAUGUGGGCAAACUCACACUGCCCUGCCACCAAAAGGUUUGCUGAGGGACAUCACUCCCUGGCACCCGGCUCCUUGAAGUUAUCUACUGAGAAAUCUAGCACCUAUUAUCCAAAGGAUGCAGUCUUGCCUGCUGUGAACCAAAUUGCUGACUGACAAUUACCCAACAAUCACACCCCCCACCCCGAUCUCUUUUGCCUAAUAAAUAUGGAGGGCUGUGUAAAUCUCAGGGCCCUUGUGCACUAGAGGCAAGGUGCCCCCCGACCCCUUCUUACAAAUAUACUCUUGUCUCUUGCCUUUGAUUCCUGUGUUCGCCCCCCUUUGUUCAGUCCACCAGGUCUGUACAGGUUACAAGUCCCAAAUUUUUGAAUGGUUGUAAAAUGUGUUUAAAUGAUUUGUCCAUGUCUGUAUAAGCAGAUUUUUAUUGAUGGUGACUAUUAAGAAUUUGAAAAUGUAAUUAAAAAGUCUUGAUAAGGAGCUGUGUGUAGCCCUUUCAAGCAUAAAAUCCAAUUUUUAAACAGAUAUAAGCUCAAGUUUCUCAUUAAAGGUUUUCAACAAUUCUUUUUUGCAAAUUUUACAUGUAUUUAGUAUCUAAAUUUCCUUCUAAACUUUGUGCUGUAUUACCUUGCAUAUGAAAACUGUUUCAAAUUUUCCCCAGGCUCCAUAUGAAAGCACUUGAAUCCCUCCAGUUUAUCUCAGUGCCUUAGACUGGAUCUUCUAGAAACAGAGAAUUCCAGGUAGAAGGUUUAUUGGAGAAUGCCCUCAGGAAAUAUACCUAAAGGAAGUGAAGAUGGAGGCAAGACUGGACAGAGGGAGAAGCUGACUCACAUUGCAGUUACAAGUGAGGCCUCAGCUUAUCCUACUUGGAGCCCUAGAGCUGAAUGAACUUCUAGAGUUGUUUUAAAUUGAGGUGAGGGACUGAGCCUGUGUAUUUAUUCCCCAUCAGCCAUUCAUUAUGCUUGCUGGCAGAGGGCAUAACCUUGAGUGAGGCACACUAUGAAAUGUCAGAAGCCUAUUUCCGCAACAGCUUGGAGAUGGAUGUGAAAUGAACUGCAGAUUCUGAGCGCAGUUUUACAAGCACAACUUGAGUCUGAGUUCUAGCUACUGCCCAGUUGUGUGACCUUGGCCAACAGGAAGAAGAGAUCAGAGGCUCUACUGGAGGAGAUCAUCAAAUAUCAAGAUAUUCUGAGAAUGACCAGAACUGAAUAUGACAGUUCCAGUCUCUUCAGAUAAUUUACAUCAGCCAAUGUCCAAAGAAGUGAAAUAACUUAUUCAAGAUAACACUGCAGGGAGUCAUUCUGCAGACGAGGAGAUGUGAAAAUCCAAGGACCUUGGGGUCAAUUUCACUCAGGCAACAGCCUGGAGAAUAUGAGCCAUAAUUUAUGGAGAUUUAAGAAUUAAUAACAAAAACAUAUCAAAUGCUAAUGACAAAUUCAGAGCUGAAAUGAAACACAAAACCAAGAAUCGGUGCUUAGCAGAAUUUGGUAUGAAGCAGAAAGAGAAAAGUAAAAUUAGCAGAUCAAGGCUUCCAGAAAGGUGGAUGCGUAUGAGGUCCCUAGCCCCAGUACCCUCACAGAAACACAGUUUAGCAACUAUUCAUAGAAAAGAAUGCCUUUGUGAGAAUUCCAAAAGUUGAGCACCCUGGUAGAGUGAAAAAAAUUGCAUUAAAAAAGAUAAAAAUAACCCUUCUUUGUCAGAAGCAAUCCUGCCCAAUCCAGCACAACACAGAGCCAAGAAAGAUCCUGUUGACCCGUGAUUUCUUCAGUGGAGUAAAGAGAGAUCAUGGUGGAUGUUGAACUUCCCCAGCAUUUCAGGGCAUUGCUCUAGAGACCCACUUAUGCCUCACCUCAUAUCACACACUGGGGAAAUUGGCAUGGCUAGACCACCUGGGAACAAUCAGGAAUAACAGAAAGAGGCAGGGGCUCUCAGCAGCCAGUGCAUACAGAUCUCAGAGGCAGUCCCACAGCCCCUGUGAGCAGCCUUGCCUGACUGUGGCCCUAACCAACAACUCCAUCAAACCAAAGAGUCAAGUCGGCUGGCUCCACCCAACUAUAGAGCUCAGAGAGCAGGCUCACAUAACCUUAGAGCCCAGGCAACCAGCCCCACCCACCUGUGAAGCCCUACCAGACAACCAUGCUCAAAAGUAAAACUUUGGUAACAGGCUCCAUUUAACCAAGAAUUCAACAGGCCCUGUUUCAACUUUGAACCCAAUGGACCUCACUCACAGGCCUCACUUGCCCACAGAUAACUGCCAUCUGGCCCACCCAGAGUCCUAAGCUAGGCUGACUAGUGAAAGUCUUUCCCUGCUAAGAACAGACUAUAAAGACUGGAAGAGAGAACCACUUCUUCAAAUGUGCAGACAUAAAUGUAAGAAUAUAAGGAUCAUGAGAAAUUAAGGAAACUUGAUAACACCAUAGGAAACUAAAAAAGUUUCAAUAAUUGACCCCAAAUAAAUGAUGAUCUACGAAGUGCCUUACAAAGAAAAAUAAUAAUCGUCUUAAAGAAGCUUAGUGAACUAUUAGGCAGACAACUAAACAAAAUUAGAGAGGCAAUACAUAAACAAAAUGAGAAGUUCAAAAAGAAAUGAAAACCAUAAAACCAAAGAAACAGAAAUCCUGGAUUUGAAGAAUACAAUAACUAAACUGAAAAAAAAUUAAUAGAGGGCUUCAACAAAUGACCCAAUUAAGCAGAAGAAAGAAGUAGUUACCUUGAAGACAGGUCAUUUAAAUUAUGUAGUCAGAGAAGCUAAAAGGAUAAAGAAUGAAAAACACCGAAGAACCCCUACAGGACAUAUGAGACACCAUCAAGUAGUUCAAUAUACACAUUAUGAGAGUCUCUGAAGGAGAAAAGAAAGAGAAGGGGAGAAAAAAGUGUUUUCAAGGUUAUGAAGAAAUUGGAAUUCUUGUACACUGUUGGUGAGAAUGUAAAAUGGUAUAGCCACUAAGAAAAACCAGUAUGUAGGUCCCUCAAAGAAAUAAAAAUAAAACUUCCGUAUGAUCCAGUAAUCCCACUUCUAGGUGUAUAUCUGAAAGAAUUGAAAUCAGGAACUUGAAAUGAUAUCUGUACUCCCAUGUUCCUUCCAGCAUUAUUCACAAUAGUUAAGGUAUGGAGUUGUUACUAUUAUAAAUGGAUAUAAAGUUACAGUUAUACAGUAUGAGUAAGUUCCAGAAUUCUGCUGUACAACAUAAUGCCUGUAGUUAACAAUAAGGUAUUGUGCACUUUAAAAGGUAGUACAAGGAUAGAGCUCAUGUUAAGUGUUCUCAUCACAAAUUUUAAAAAAAGAAACAAAAAAUAAAGUGGCACAUGGAAACUUUUGGAUGUGAUGAAUAUAUUGAUUACCUUGAUUGUGGCAAGGUAACACUGGUAUAUGCAUAUGUUUGAACUCACCAAAUUGUACACACUAUGUGCAGUUUUGUGCACCAAAUAUACCUCAAUAACUUUGGGGAAAAUUAAAUUUAUUUUUUAAAAAAGUUUAGAUCAGGUCAUGUACAAUUGCCCUAACUGGGAGAUGAUUUGUCCAUAAGCCAUUUUUAAUAUCUCAUGACUCAACAUACAGCAACAGCUAAGAUUGGCUUAAUGGUUCACCACACACUCCUUUAGAUGGUCACAGAAUUGGAAGGAACCAGAAUGAACUAUGAAUAUGAAAAUCCAUCAAUAAUUUACAAAAUAGCCUUUAAAUUCUUUAUUGCUGAUUUUAUAACUAUUUUACUUUUUAUUUUAUUUAUAAGAGAAAAUUGUGUUGAUACAUGAGGAACGUUCCUCACUAUUUGACUAUGGCUUCAUCAUAGCAUAUGUUAGUCUGCUAGUAUCAGAAAAUUUGUGUGACACCUGCAAACUAAUCAGAGUUUCUAGGUUAAAGGGUGUGUCAGACACUCUGGAUAAAGUUCUUUCUCUGGAUUAAACUAGAAAUCUCAGGACCUGUAUAUUCUAACAUCUUGUUCAGUAGGGAAAAAUGGUAUGGGUGGUGGGAAGAGGCCAUUGAGUACAACUAGUCUCAUACAACUAGAGCCAGGUUUCCUAAUGAAAAUUGCAAUGUUAGGAUGUUCUCCACUUUACUAAAAGUCAUAAGUUUUAGAAAGUUAUUUCUUUUUCGGAGUCAUAUCUUCCUCCCUGAGAGUUCCAUUCCAUUAUCCUAAAGUUUCUCUGGAACCACUCAAAGUAGCUUCACUCUCUCUGAGAGAAAACUCUUUAAUAUUUGACAGUUUUUAUCAUUGCCUUCAGUGUCUUCUGUUCUCCAAAGAAGACACAUAUAACAAUGAGGCUAAACUAACCAGCUUCAACAGAAAGGUCUUAGAAAUGAUGCCAGUAUAUUUAUUGGCUUAAUAUAGACACAAUUAUCCAUUCUGAGCAGAGAUGACAAAAUUACAUCUUUGACAGAGCAAAGUUCUUCAUAAGGGGACCACUUGUGGGCAAAUUUUGGGAUGUAUGUACCCUUGUUUAUUUUUACUUCACUUUUAUCAUAUUUUCAGAUGGACUUUAUUACUCAAAAAGACUAAGAAUAAUUGACUUGUUGAAGACUUUAUUAUAAACAUAUUGCACAGUUCUCCUUGGUCACAUUAUAAGAACAUUUGGGUAUGUCUGUGACUCAUCAGUGAUUAUCAGUGGGCAAAUGUGAACAACUACUGUGGUAUCUUCAGCAAAGUCCUGCAGCCUCACAUAAAUAAAUGAAAGGAAAAACUGGGGAAGGAAAGAAGAGAAAGCAAAGGAAAAAAGGAAGGAAG
This 5226-nucleotide long non-coding RNA is filed under the name Homo sapiens (human). RNAcentral describes it as "HSALNT0124866". Lineage: Eukaryota; Metazoa; Chordata; Mammalia; Primates; Hominidae. The record is from RNAcentral.